UACGUAGGGGGCAAGCGUUGUCCGGAUUUAUUGGGCGUAAAGAGCGUGUAGGCGGCUUGGUAGGUCCGCUGUGAAAACUCGAGGCUCAACCUCGAGAUGUCGGCGGAAACCACUUGGCUAGAGUCCGGAAGAGGAGAGUGGAAUUCCCGGUGUAGCGGUGAAAUGCGCAGAUAUCGGGAAGAACGACCCGUGGCGAAGGCGGUUCUCUGGGACGGUACUGGACGCUGAGACGCGAAAGCGUGGGGAGCGAACAGG
This 255-nucleotide ribosomal RNA is filed under the name uncultured bacterium. RNAcentral's name for it is "partial 16S ribosomal RNA". It matches the Rfam family "Bacterial small subunit ribosomal RNA", at positions 524 to 776 of the family's 1533-position model. The record is from RNAcentral.